UGGAGACAUUUCUUGAUGCUAGUGAUGC
Molecule: non-coding RNA, 28 nt
Filed under: Mus musculus (house mouse)
Lineage: Eukaryota; Metazoa; Chordata; Mammalia; Rodentia; Muridae
Source: RNAcentral